CCUGGUUCUCACAAACCAGGCUGAGCUAUUCCAUUCCUUCGGAAUU
Molecule: small RNA, 46 nt
Organism: Lentisphaera araneosa HTCC2155
Lineage: Bacteria; Pseudomonadati; Lentisphaerota; Lentisphaeria; Lentisphaerales; Lentisphaeraceae
Rfam family: Acido-Lenti-1 RNA
Source: Rfam